AUGCAUAGAUCAAAACCAGAACCAAAAGAGAAGCAAAAAMCAGAAAUAAAAACAAAACUGUUAACUGAAAUAGAUAAAAUACAUAAAGAAGAUAUCAUCAUGGAAAGUCCUGAAAUACUAACUGUUGAAUAUGCCACAUCUUCUGCUUAUGAAAUGAAAACAGGAGAGGUACAUGAAACUUUAACAAAAGACUUGAAAGAAAUGAAAAAUGGCAUUCCAACCCAAACAAAAAAGCACCCUGAAGUUGAAAUAAGCAUUAAAAAACAAAAAGACCAGGAAUCAACAUUGAAGUUUACUGUACCAGAAGUACCAGCUAUAUCAACACAAAUAUCAAAACCCAAUUUAGAAACACCUGAUAUGAAAGAGAGCCCAGMUAAACAAACACCACAGCCCUCAUCAAAAUCCCCUAAAAAGAAACAGAAAGGAACAACAGACAAAAUAGAAGGAGAAAGUGAAAUUAACAUAGAAAUAAUGGAUCACACGGCACAAGGAUCAAUAAAAGUAAAAGGUCUAGAAAUAGGCACUGCUAAAGCAGAAUUACACACAACAGCUGACGCACUGGAAACAAGAGAAAAACAGGCAGAAGAUAAAACAAAAAUAUUAACACUUCAGAAAACAAAGUUUGGGAUUUCAAUGCCCAAAAGAGAAGAACCAGAAACUGAAAGCACUUUAACCAAAUCUGGACGUGAUGUUCSACAUUCGGUACCAGAAACAAGAGAUGACACAAGCAAGGAAGGAGGCAGAAAGUUGGAUGUGAAAACCGACAUGCCUGAUGCAGAAUCAGAAGUAUCUGCGUGGAAAAUACAAAUGUCAUCAUUCAAAAUGGCCAAAAUACCUAAAGAUGACAUAAAACUACCCAGAGAAGAGAGCACAGUCCAGUCAAUAGAUACUGUAAAAAAGGCACAGACAGAAGAAGAUGAUGUGCCUACAACUGAUAAAGACUCUAAGAUGGACAUUGAUAUGAAGGCAGGAGAAAAAGAUAUAGAGGGAAAAGAAAGCAAAUUCAGACUGCCAAAGUUCAAAUUUCCUACAUUUACUUGGGCAACGCUAAAGGACGAAACAGGGGAAACUGAGGAUCAGACGAGCCAUGGGGAAACAAAAGUACAUUCUCUAGCAGCAGAUGAAAAAACAGAUAUCAGCAUAACAAUAGGAGAGAUGCAGGCUCCAAGUGCUGAAAUUGAAAGAAGGAUAAUUGAAGAAAAUAUAAGUGAAAAAAAUAUAAGACACCUACCAGAAGUCCAAAUGCCAAGCUUGAAAACUAAAAAAAUAGCAACUUCAUCCACAGAGAAUCAGUGGGCAAAGWCAGAAGCAGAAAAAAAGCCUCCCAGACCAGAUACUGAAAUGAAAGACGGUGAAAUCUCUGUACCAUCCAAGGAAAGAGASGAUAUCAUUGAAAAUAUACUAGGUAAAGAUGAAGAGACAGGAAUAAAACUUCAAAAGAAAAAGGUCAAAAUGCCUAAAAUGGGUUUUUUUAAACACGAUGUAAAGGCACAAAAAGAAGAU
This 1503-nucleotide long non-coding RNA is filed under the name Apteryx haastii (Great spotted kiwi). Its description in RNAcentral is "lncRNA (ENSAHAG00000013435.1)". Lineage: Eukaryota; Metazoa; Chordata; Aves; Apterygiformes; Apterygidae. The record is from RNAcentral.